Molecule: non-coding RNA, 583 nt
Organism: Microcebus murinus (gray mouse lemur)
Lineage: Eukaryota; Metazoa; Chordata; Mammalia; Primates; Cheirogaleidae
Source: RefSeq, a predicted model, not a curated record
UCCUGGCCUCAAGUGGCCCUCCUGUCCCAGCCUCCCAAAGUGCUGGGAUCUCAGGCGUGAGCCACCAGGCCCGGCCUCUAUGUAAUCCUCGACACUUGCUUUUCAUCCUCACCUGCAGUGACCGCCGUCUCCCCUGCUCCUGCCCCUGCCACCUGCGUGGAGGGAGUCCUGGGACACCUGGCACCAUGCCCUGCAUGUAGCGAGCAGGGACUGGCAGCUGGUGGUGCUGCUGUGGCCCCGGCUACAAGUCAGGACGCCCCGGUGACCUCGAGACAGCAUGCUUGUCCCUCCCGCUCAGAGGGCGCCCGGUGGACGGCAGCAAUGGGGUCCCCCAGAGCUUGCUGGGAACAGGACCUGUGAGGACCCGGGGCGGAAGCAGCUGGAAGAAACGGGCAUAGGAGUCGGGGGAGCUUGAAGAUCCGCUGAGAUUCAGGGCGGCGGUGCCGGGGGAGCACCCACAGCAUCUCGUGUCGUCUCCAGUUACUUUCCCCGACGCUUCCGAGACUCAGCACGUUGUUCCAGAACGGGCGACUGCUCCUGUCUUUGCGGAGGAGGAGCCCACGGCACGUGUCACCCAUUUGUG